GCAAUGCCGCGUGCAGGAUGAAGGCCUUCGGGUUGUAAACUGCUUUUGUACGGAACGAAACGGCUCCUUCUAAUACAAGGGGCUAAUGACGGUACCGUAAGAAUAAGCACCGGCUAACUACGUGCCAGCAGCCGCGGUAAUACGUAGGGUGCGAGCGUUAAUCGGAAUUACUGGGCGUAAAGCGUGCGCAGGCGGUUAUAUAAGACAGAUGUGAAAUCCCCGGGCUCAACCUGGGACCUGCAUUUGUGACUGUAUAGCUAGAGUACGGUAGAGGGGGAUGGAAUUCCGCGUGUAGCAGUGAAAUGCGUAGAUAUGCGGAGGAACACCGAUGGCGAAGGCAAUCCCCUGGACCUGUACUGACGCUCAUGCACGAAAGCGUGGGGAGCAAACAGGAUUAGAUACCCUGGUAGUCCACGCCCUAAACGAUGUCAACUGGUUGUUGGGUCUUCACUGACUCAGUAACGAAGCUA
RNAcentral lists this ribosomal RNA (470 nucleotides) under Rhodoferax sp. Its description in RNAcentral is "bacterial SSU rRNA". It matches the Rfam family "Bacterial small subunit ribosomal RNA", at positions 391 to 854 of the family's 1533-position model. Lineage: Bacteria; Pseudomonadati; Pseudomonadota; Betaproteobacteria; Burkholderiales; Comamonadaceae. The record is from RNAcentral.